AUGCCACCAGAAUUCCUUAAUGAAGGCAAAAUCUCACCUAAGAAUGACGUCUUCGGUUUCGGUGUUGUAAUGAUCGAGAUAAUGGCAGGACCUGCAGGUUACUCCAAUUCUUUUGAAAUGCAUGAUGUGGCACAAUUAAUGCAGCAGGUACUUACCAAUUGUACAAUGAUUGAAGCCACAUCGAAUAACCGAUCAGAGGAAUUACGUCAGGUGAAAACGUGUAUCGAAUUAGCAAUGCGUUGUGUGGAUUCAGAAAGAGACAAUAGGCCCUCUGUAGCAGAUAUCCUAGAUACCCUGAAUAAGACAGAAACUCAUAUUCCCAAGAGACAGCGUUGCUCUCAAAUCAGUGUUCCCGGGCUGGAGAGGGCCAAGAAGAGGAAGAAGACGGGAGGGAACUUGAAGGGGAUUGCAAAAGAACGUACCCAUUUCACUGUCAUGCAAGAAAAUGCCCCUAGUCUGCUUGAAAACAGGGAUCACCGGGAAACAUCAGCAAAGAUAGGAGCAGAAGUCGUAGGGAGGGAAAUGGAAAAACAGGAAAUUAUGGCUCAUUUAUCUGGGAGUACCACACAAGAGAUCACCUUCCUUUCGAUAUAUGGUAUUGGAGGCAUUGGGAAGACAACCAUGGCACAAUUUGUUUUCAAUGAUUUCCAGUUCAAAGAGUACUCUCGGGUUUGGACCUAUGUGUCCCAGACAUUUGAUUUAAAGAAAAUUGGGAAUUCUAUAAUAACACAACUAUCCGGUAGCAAGAGUAUGCAUACUGACCUUCCGAUGAUAGAAAAUAGCCUACAAAAGCUCCUUUCUGGUAAGAGGGUUCUAAUCAUCUUAGAUGACCUGUGGGAGAGGGAAUCCCCUCAGUUAAAAAAGUUGGAGAGUAUGCUAAAUCUGGGUGAAGGCGGCAAAUUGGUGGUGGUAGUAACCACAUGA
Molecule: ribosomal RNA, 924 nt
Filed under: Triticum aestivum (bread wheat)
Lineage: Eukaryota; Viridiplantae; Streptophyta; Magnoliopsida; Poales; Poaceae
Description: partial small subunit ribosomal RNA
Source: RNAcentral